GAACUCCCGCAGGGCUGCACCGGCACCGGUGUCUAUCCCCCCCCUCUCAAUGGGCGAAAGCCUGACGGAGCAAUGCCGCGUGGAGGUGGAAGGCCUACGGGUCGUCAACUUCUUUUCUCGGAGAAGAAACAAUGACGGUAUCUGAGGAAUAAGCAUCGGCUAACUCUGUGCCAGCAGCCGCGGUAAGACAGAGGAUGCAAGCGUUAUCCGGAAUGAUUGGGCGUAAAGCGUCUGUAGGUGGCUUUUCAAGUCCGCCGUCAAAUCCCAGGGCUCAACCCUGGACAGGCGGUGGAAACUACCAAGCUGGAGUACGGUAGGGGCAGAGGGAAUUUCCGGUGGAGCGGUGAAAUGCAUUGAGAUCGGAAGAACACCAACGGCGAAAGCACUCUGCUGGGUCGACACUGACACUGAGAGANNNNNNNNN
RNAcentral lists this non-coding RNA (424 nucleotides) under Setaria italica (foxtail millet). RNAcentral describes it as "Bacterial small subunit ribosomal RNA". It matches the Rfam family "Bacterial small subunit ribosomal RNA", at positions 302 to 762 of the family's 1533-position model. Lineage: Eukaryota; Viridiplantae; Streptophyta; Magnoliopsida; Poales; Poaceae. The record is from Rfam by way of RNAcentral.